UAUGGUUGCUGAGAAUAGAAGAGUUUCCACACUUUCAAACCUUUCUCCCUGUUCCUGAUACUUGACAUUGUUUGAGGACAAACAAGGAUCUAAGUCUGGGGGAAUUGAUAUAUGAUGUUUUUGACAUCAUUGUGUUAUGGUGUUUUUGACAUCUUUUUAGAGACAUUUCAGGUCUGGAGAAGAUUGAAGAGCUUAAAGAAUAGGCAUGAAGAAAAGAGCAAGGAUUGGAGAUUUCCCCUGAAGAACAAUCCGCGGAGCAGUCUGACGGUCGAUCCUACCAGGAACAGCCAAACGAUUGUUCUCGAUAAUUAUGGAAGUUUCCAUAUCUUCCAAAGAUUUGCCCUAGUUGCUGACUCUCCACUCUGAAGUCUAUGGGCGCCUCCAUAUAAAAGCGACCCCUAUCUAUCUUAUUUCUUUACGCUAGUUUUUUGCAAAAAUGACCUAGACCUAUUCUUGGAUAUUGCUAUUGUAAGGGAGACGGCUCCUCUUCUUGACAGAGAAGAUCAUCCUGAACCCCAUUGUUUUACCUUUGAUUUACAUGCAGUAUUAUUCAGUUAUUAUGUCAUGUUCAUCUUGUGUUAUGGCUGAGUAGUCGUCUAGCUUGUCUAAGGUUCUAUGGUGGUAAACGCAAGGUUACACAUAUAUAAGCACUUAUCGUUUCUUCGGUCAUUCUAGUUCUUAAUGCUAGUUCUAACCUGAUCACUUAUUGCUAGAUCUUAGGUCCGAUCACCCACUAACCGUGUAGUAGUCUACCUGAUAUCGAAUGAAUGAACUGAACAUCUCUAGCCAGCGAAAGUAGAUGCUAGAGUGUUCAGUGAACUUAUCGGACUUGAUCUCUAUAGCUUGCGACCGAUCCUUGAUCCAAACGAUAGUUUAGGCGUCUAGGUCGGACCGCAAAGGGAACAUCACCACGACAGUGGGAUGUUCUACUAAGAGUGAUCCGUGUUCUAGAUCGUGUCUUAACGAGCUUGAAUAAAUGUUUGGCUAAAUUUUAACACUCGAUGAGAAACCCUAGAUCAGCUUAUCCUUAAUAUCAAAUCUAAACCUUUUAAAAAUCUUUUACUUUACUUGCAAGUCACUACUUAAUUCAAAACCCAUUUUAGUUUUAGCUAAGUUGAAAACACAUAAGAAUAAAGUGUAGACUGGUCCUCUGGAUUGAAUCUCAAUUACUACAAUUAUCACUGUUAACUUGACAGUAGGAAAGGUUCAGUUUUAGUGUAUCACUCUUCUGCAAAAAGAUACAAGAUUUACAAUCAACAAAUGAAUACAACAAUAUACAAUAGUCAAAAACAAAACAAAGAUAUGUAUCAUCAUUAAACAUUCAGCUAACUGGGAAUCAUUAUCUUUGAGCUUCUUAAUAAUGAUAUCCGCUAGAUUACGUUGAGGAGGCGCGAUCUUAACAAAGAAUGGCUCAAACAACUUAUCGCCAUCUUAAAAAAAAAGAAAUAUGAUUCUCAUCUUGAUUCACACAAUAAAUAAAAUAUAAGCAUGAAGAGCAAACGAACUUUGUAUCAUCCAAACAUAUUCCAUCUAAAACAAUGAAGGAGACUUCUUUUGUAAUGUUUAACACUGAAACAAAAAAUAAAACGUUGUAGAGAGUAAAGGUGCUCACUUGAUAACUAUCAUAAUCCAACUGUCUAAAAUAAUCAAUGUAUCUGCCUCCUCAAUCAAUUUCUUCUCCUCUCGGCAUUCAAGGCAGAGGAAGCAGACAACAUGGAGGUGAUGGGGUUCCUCUCGGCGCUUUUUUCAUCCACGAUCUGUUUUUUUUUCAGGGUAAGGUCUACUUUCAUGAUCUUCGAGUUUAGUGAAUCAAGUUAUAUGUACAUAUGUUAUAACAAGUAGUGUAUUAUCAAUCAAAAUUACACAUCCAUGUGAUAAUGUUACAUAUCUUAUAUUUUCAACAUAUAUGACAUUAUAAUUUAUAAACCAUAUGAAAAAUGAUCAUGAUAUACAUUGAUGUUUAAUAAUAUUAAAUCAUAUGUGCAUGUAAUAUCAUUACCCACUUGGUGAUUAAUUUAACACAUAGUAUUUAUUACAACUAUUAAAAUAUACAAUAUUUUAAUUAUAAUAUUUUAAAUAUUUGAUGAUGAAAUUAAUUUAGAUAAGAUCAUAUUAAUUUCCAGUUUGGUGAUAAUCAUGGUAAUAGUUUACUAUAGUAACAUAAUAAAUUAUAUAUUAUAAUUAUACCAUAAUAUUACUUUCAACUAGAUCAUGUGGAUAUUUAUGGUUUAUUCCCAUAACUAUAAUAUCACUAUCACGAUAUUGUAUAAUCAUCUAUAAUACUUAAUCCCUACUAUUGAAUUGUUAAUCUUGAUAAUCAUCAUAUAAUCAUUGAAAUUUCAAUCACAUUAGGCGAAAAAAUAAAUUACUAUAAUAAUUUCAUAAACCCGUGGAAUCCACUUAAUAUUAAAUGAGAUAUUAACUCAAAUUGUUAUAAUACAUUUCCUUUAAUCUAUUACAAAGUAUUAACAUACAAUAUUACCCAUAUUAUCAUGAUUCUAUCAUACUUCUUUCAGCAUAUGAAUUUAGACUAUUAAGAUAUUAAGUGAUAUUUUAUUUGUAUGCGAUCAUAUGUCUUUUACAUAUUCUGUAUUUGAGUUAUACAUAAUAGAAUGAGAAUAAGAAUCAACUUCAAUAAUAGAAGUCAAAAUCAAAUUACUUGAUAACUAUAGUGCAUGUAAUAUUUAAUUUAGCAUACAAUAUAGUUCUGAAGUUGGUUUUUAUUCAGUCAGAAGACUUCAGUAUCGAGACGAAAUCUGGUAUUGAUAUAAAUCAUAUAAGGAACAAAUAUACAAGUAUUGGUAUUUGUAUAAACGUUUAACUUUCAGAAUUAUACUAAUAUACUAUAUAAUAAUAUUAAAGUUGAUAUAUGUAGUACUUACCAAUAUGUGAUUAAUACAAAAGUUUGUACAUUUAAAAUAUGUUAUCGCACUUUCGCAUCAGGCGAUACCAGCUUAUCGUGUUUGGAGAUAUGACAAUUUCUUCAAGAUUCUAAUCAAACUAAAAUGAAUCAAGAUGUAAUAAGCUUGAUUUAGACACAAAAAUUAUUGGAGAAUCACAAUGAAGUUGAAUCAAUAUCAUAGGAGUUAAAAUGAACAAAUUAUCCUACUUUCAACUAAAGUGAUUUCAACUUACACUGUUUGGUUAACAAUUUAAUUGUGAUUAUACAACAUAAUCAACAACUCGUAAUAAUAGUAUUCAAGUUAAUGGUAUAAAAGUAUGAAAAUUAUCAUUUUAUGUUAUUACACUUUGAAUAUUAUCCCACUUAUGAUUAUUAUUAUGAACAUUUAUUGAGAUCACAUCAAUGUAGAAGUUAUGUUUUUACACACCUUCUACACUUAUAAGUUUAUGAUUUAUAUGAUCUAUUACUACAUUUCUUUUAGUAAAGUUAAUUUUGAUUAAACAUUUAUGUGUCAUGACAUUAUAUAUAUAAGUAUCAAUAAGAUCAUAAGAAUAUAUUACCUUUAGGAGUUAUGAUAAAAAAGUUAUCAUAUACUUUCAAUUGAUGUGAUUCCAACUUAACAUGUUUGCAGAUAGGGAAAUUUCUUUGAUUAUAAUCAACCCAUAAUGAGUCACAAUAAAUAACUUAAAUAUGUUUAUAAACUGUUUCCUAUAAACAACUGAUUGUUCAACUCCUAAAUUUUGGAGAACAUCAUUAAAUCAAUUCAGAUAUUUUCAUAAUUCAUUAUCCACAAUUUAGUCAAAAUUAUCUUUCUAUGAUUAUUAUAAUUAAUUGUUACCAACAUAUAAUAUUAAUAGUAAAAAUCUUAUAAAUGUUCUCAUUAUAGUAUAUAAUAUUCAAUACUAUGUAUUUUAAUUAGCACUCAUAUCUUCUAAAUAUUGUACACUAUUAUCUAAAUAAUAUUAAUUGUAAUGAAUGAUUAUAUAUUGAUAAUUAGGUAAUUAUAUAUAUAUAUAUACAUAACGUUUUCAAGAAUUGAAUACAUAAUUAGAGUGUUAACAAUAUCAAAUACAUGUAUUAGUUUGACUUCAAUCUACCUAGUGGCGAAGAUAAAUUUUUGGUUAAAAAACACUUUUGUAGAGGAUUUAGAUUUUCUUUUAAAAUUUCUAAUUUUCCUGCAGGUUAAUAAUCUUAGGCAUGGAUUGCAAUUGUUCGCUUCAAACAAACCUAUAACUAAAAUUUCAACAGGAGGAUCAAGUUCUUUAUAGUUUAUAAGUUGAUGUUUUCUAUUCCUUACUUCAUUAAAAAUCUGUUACAAAUGAGCAAUUUGUUUUGGUUAUUAUGUUGAUAUGAAAUUAGAACACUAGAGGAUUUUCAACCUCUCCACUUGCUUUUAUUUUUUGGAGAUCCAGUUUCAGGUUUUUUUUCUUCUUUUGCUACUUUUUUUGUAAAAAAGACAAUCUUAUGUUUUACUCAAGGGCAUUUUUUCUACCAUUAAAAAGUCAUUUCGUAUAUAAUAUCAUCUUUUUGUUGGUAAUUGUUUUCAUAAAACAAAAAAGUUAACAAUCUCUUUUGAUUCCCACAAAGGUAGAAAGUAUAGUUUCAUCAUUAUUAUUGAGGUUAUAGGCUAUGGAUAUGUAUGGUGGAAGGUAAUAAUAUUUCACCAUGUUUGAGCUACUUAAAAUUGUUACAUCCUCGUUUGAAGUGCUGUAAAAAUACUUUUUUCUUACUCAAGAUCAUUAAAUAUUACAGAUAAUAAACUAGAAACAGAUUUAUACAAAAAAUAAUAAAAAAAUCCACCUUAUAAAAUCGUGCGAGAACAAAAAAUUACAAUAAAAUCAAACUACUAUAUUAAAUUAUCUGCAAGACUGUAACCCACCAACUACUAACUGAAACAUGAAAAUAAUACAAAGCAAUGCCAACUUUGGGUAAUAACAAAAUCGCUAAAACCAUUCUUAAAAGGAUUCACGACAAAUCUUGAAUUUCAGAGUAAAAGAUCACGACAAAUCUUUAAUUUCAGUAAUAAAAUAAAAUAUUUAAUUCUUAAAAUAUUAUUUCUAUUAAGAUCACGACAGAUCAUAACAAAAUCGCUAAAAAAAAUCAUAUAAUAAAAUAUUUAAUUCUAACUUAAACAUUAAGCAGAGUCAUCUUUUUGUUCUUGCAAAACCAAAACACUACAAAAAUAAAUAAGAAUCAGUCCUUUUCCAUUGGCACUUCAGACAUGUCAAGCCUAUCUUCUUUAAUCCUAUUGUUGAGAAGGUAAACAGCAUUCAAGAAGAUAACAUAACAUAACUCAUAUGAAAAAUAAUUGAAAAAAGAAUUAACAAGAUAUAAAAGGUUACAAUUAGUCAACAUAGGAUCAUCUCUCUCUCCAUGGUUUCUGCUAAUCCGAAGCUCUCUCACAAUCUCUGGAGUAACCUACAAAUAACAUCAACAACCUAAUAAGUAGUGAUUCACAAUACAAUACAAAGAUAAUCUUUAAUUUUUAAAAGGUCGAGAAAAUGUCCUACAAGAUGGUGUUUUUGCCUCUUGACACUACAAAAAAAGUCUACAUUGAUAGCACAUUUUUAUAGCACGUUUUACUAAAUUGCUAUUGUAGAUAAUUAAGAAAUUUUCAUAUUAUAUCAUAGCGUUAGAUAAAUGCUAUAAUAUAAUUAAACGCUACGAUAAAGUUUCAACAAGCUGGAACCUAAAACUAAAUUUUACCUUAAUGAAAAUCACUAAACUAAUCAUUAUCCUUCUCCUUACUCUCAUUUUCCCACCCUCAACUCUCACCUAAACCACCUAAACCCUAUCUUUGUUAUUCCCUUUCCUUUCUAGGGUCUGAGUCUGAGACACGAGUGCACAAAAAAAGAAAAAAAAAAAGGGUCUGAGACAUGAGAGACAGAAGAGAAGGGAGAAGAGACGAAACAGGGAUAGAGAGGAGACAGAGCUCGGGUGUGUCUUGCUUCGUCUCCGAUAAGCAGAGCUUGGGUUGGGUCGGGUCUUGCUUUGUCUCCGCCGUUUUCGCCUCUGCUUCAUAGAUCCGCCGUAUUCGAGAUCCGUCGCCGCUUGUACCUUUCUUCAAAACUCGUCUCGAGAGAAGAGAAGGCAGAAGACGGAGUCGUCUUCUCGAAUCACUCUUCCCUCGUCAAUGGAGACUGACAACUCUCACUCUCAUUCCUCUCCUCAGGAGCUGUGUCUUAGAUCGCAGAGGAAGUUCGUUCUAAAGCUCUGUUGUAUUGCAAGAUGUGGCAGUAGUAGUCACGAACUCAAAACCGGCUGAGAAAUGCUAAGAUAAGACUUUUAUCAAUUCCAUCAUAAGAAGCAGACAAGCUUGCAACGUAGCGUAAUGGGGAGGAAACAGGAGUCAACAGUUAGUAUCACGGUGGUUGGAGCAUCUGGUGAUCUUGCUAAGAAGAAAAUAUUCCCAGCCUGUGAAUUUCUUCUUGUGAGAUUUUUUUUCCCAGUGGUGUUUACAAUGAAUAUCAGAAUAUGGUCGUUGCUCCUGUAGUUUACUGCAAGAAGGUUACUGAGACUUCCAAAACGGCGAGUGCAUUGUUGAUUAAUGCAUGGCAGAUUCUGGCAUUCUGCUGCUAUUGCAAUCAUGAAAACUGAUCUUAUUGGAGGAACCACAAUUUGAGUUGGAGGUAUGGGAAAAGGCUCUGGGAUGAUCACAGUAGAUGGUGACAUGAGUACCAACGGCACAGUCAUUGCUUUGGCGAGCGGACUAUUGGAUCACCUUUUAUAUAUUCUUUGAACUGUAAGGAAGCUGCACAGCUUCAGGCAUGCCUUGAUGCGGUAUGUAUGUCCUUGCCAUCUUUCUAACAGUUGUUCAUAAGAUGGACUUAACAUGGAACUCUUAAACGUAAUUUACUCUCAGGUGAUGCAAUGACUUGCCAAAUCAAUAGCUUGGGAUGGUGAAGGCAGUAACAUGUCUGAUAUUGAUAACGAUUUGAUGUUUCAGAUUCUUUGCAGUUCUUUACUUAUGAGGUGUGUUCUUGUGUUUUCAGGUCUGUUGUUUUGUGUGCUCGUUACUGGUGUCAUAACGGAUGCUAUUAGGGAUGCUGUAAGUCGGCCUCGUCCUGGCUUCUUUUGGCGUUGUUUCCUUGAUGGUAGAGGGUUCUUUGACAAUGUCAAAAAGGAUGUUCUGUGUAUUGGAGAUAAAGACGUGGUCAAGGAGGGACACAAGAGCUUCCCCAACCCCACACGUCUUGUUAGUUUUUUAUCUUUUUGGGUCUGUUGUGCCAUGAGACAACUUAUCUAAUCGUGUAAUUCAAUGUCAUUAGGAUAAGGGUUCUCUGUAUUUUCAGGAAGAGGAAGAUGAGGUUUUCUGUUAUAUUAGUUGGCCUUUGUAUGUAAUUGCUUGCAGGGUUAGAGGCACGGAUGGGUUAAGGCACGGGUGGGAGUUGUAAUAUGUAUUGCAAGUUGAUGUAUAUUUUAGAUGAUAUAAGAAAUAAUAUAUGUUUUAUAAAAUGAAUGAAAUAUAAACUUUUAUUUAUAGAUCUGUUGUUUGUGAGAAAUCUUUAUUUAAUAUUUCAUCAUAAAAUUCAAAGACAACAUAACAAGAAUAUGAUUAAAAAAAAAA
Molecule: long non-coding RNA, 7469 nt
Organism: Brassica napus (rape)
Lineage: Eukaryota; Viridiplantae; Streptophyta; Magnoliopsida; Brassicales; Brassicaceae
Exons: 6
Source: RefSeq, a predicted model, not a curated record